Molecule: ribosomal RNA, 253 nt
Filed under: uncultured bacterium
Lineage: Bacteria
Description: partial 16S ribosomal RNA
Rfam family: Bacterial small subunit ribosomal RNA
Source: RNAcentral
UACGUAGGGUGCGAGCGUUGUCCGGAAUUAUUGGGCGUAAAGGGCUCGUAGGCGGCUUGUCGCGUCGGGCGUGAAAAUCCAGGGCUUAACUCUGGACUGGCUUUCGAUACGGGCAGACUAGAGGUAUGCAGGGGAGAACGGAAUUCCUGGUGUAGCGGUGAAAUGCGCAGAGAUCGGGAGGAACACCCGUAGCGAAGGCAGCGCUCUGGGCCGGUACUGACGCUGAGGAGCGAAAGCGUGGGGAGCAAACAGG